RNAcentral lists this ribosomal RNA (492 nucleotides) under uncultured bacterium. RNAcentral's name for it is "partial 16S ribosomal RNA". It matches the Rfam family "Bacterial small subunit ribosomal RNA", at positions 29 to 507 of the family's 1533-position model. The record is from RNAcentral.
AGUGAACGCUGGCGGUAGGCCUAACACAUGCAAGUCGAACGGCAGCACAGUAAGAGCUUGCUCUUACGGGUGGCGAGUGGCGGACGGGUGAGGAAUACAUCGGAAUCUACUUUUUCGUGGGGGAUAACGUAGGGAAACUUACGCUAAUACCGCAUACGACCUACGGGUGAAAGCAGGGGAUCUUCGGACCUUGCGCGAUUGAAUGAGCCGAUGUCGGAUUAGCUAGUUGGCGGGGUAAAGGCCCACCAAGGCUACGAUCCGUAGCUGGGCUGAGAGGAUGGUGCGCCACGAUAGAACUGAGACACGGACCAGACCCCUACGGGAGGCACCAGUGGAGAACAUUGGAGUAUAGGCGCAAGCCUGUUCCAGCCAUGCCGAGUGAGUGAAGAAGGCCUUCGGGUUGUAAAACCGUUUUGUUGCGAAAGAAAAGCAGCAGGAUAAUACCCCGCUGUUCUGACGGUACCCAAUGUAUAAGCACCGGCUAACUUCGUG